AUUCAUGGCGCGCGGGAGUCUAGCUUACGUUUCGUUCAUUUCUUUUUUAGCGUGGACUGUGCUUUUUCACAUGAAAUCAUUAAUUAACGGUUUUGUUUUGGAUAUUUUUUUAGCAAGAUAUGGUGAUUUAAUUGCUAUACUUUAUGUUAGAUUCAUUUGUUGACGGUUAUAUAUUUUGAAUCAGGUAGUAAGGUUUUGUUUGAUUUUUUUACACAUGGUUAAAGAGGAGGCAUAUUUUUUUUAUAAAAAAAAUUUUAGUUGAGUUGGAUUUCUGAGGUUCACCAGAGUUAUGACAGACUUUAAGAUUUU
Molecule: long non-coding RNA, 309 nt
Filed under: Lathyrus oleraceus (garden pea)
Lineage: Eukaryota; Viridiplantae; Streptophyta; Magnoliopsida; Fabales; Fabaceae
Description: Pisum sativum (pea) long non-coding RNA (PSAT_LNC030872)
Source: RNAcentral